RNAcentral lists this non-coding RNA (145 nucleotides) under Methylobrevis pamukkalensis. RNAcentral describes it as "FMN sequence". It matches the Rfam family "FMN riboswitch aptamer (RFN element)". Rfam says of the family: The RFN element is a highly conserved domain that is found frequently in the 5'-untranslated regions of prokaryotic mRNAs that encode for flavin mononucleotide (FMN) biosynthesis and transport proteins. This element is a metabolite-dependent riboswitch that directly binds FMN in the absence of proteins. Lineage: Bacteria; Pseudomonadati; Pseudomonadota; Alphaproteobacteria; Hyphomicrobiales; Pleomorphomonadaceae. The record is from Rfam by way of RNAcentral.
AAACGUUCUCAGGGCGGGGUGCAACUCCCCACCGGCGGUGAUGCGGAUCCUGUCCGCGAGCCCGCGAGCGCGGCAUCUGCCGGGGUCAGCAGAUCCGGUGCGAUCCCGGAGCCGACGGUCACAGUCCGGAUGAAAGAGAACAGCG